AGGGUUUGAGAGGUUGGGACGAUCUGAGCUGCGACGAUGGUGGAGAAGGCGAGCAAGGGGAGAAAGGAGGAGGUCGUGACGAGGGAGUACACCGUCAACCUCCACAAACGCCUCCACGGAUGCACCUUCAAGAAGAUGGCUCCCAAGGCCAUCAAGGAGAUUAGAAAGUUUGCCCAGAAGGCAAUGGGGACUACUGAUGUGAGGGUUGACGUGAAGCUCAACAAGCAAAUCUGGAGCAGAGGGAUUCGAAAUGUCCCUCGACGAGUUCGGGUGAGGAUUGCUCGCAAGAGGAAUGAGGAAGAAGAUGCUAAGGAGGAGCUCUACUCGUUGGUUACUGUUGCCGAGGUUCCUGCUGAGGGAUUGAAAGGAUUGGGAACCAAAGUGAUCGACGAAGCUGAUUGAAGUCUUUAAUUAUCACUUAGGUUAUUGAGACAUCUUAGUUUGUCCAAGGUCUAUCUUCAGAAUUUUGCAUCGACUUUAUCAUGCAAUUUUGUUUGGAUCAUAUUGUUAUCUCUUGUCUACCUCAGAAUCUGGAUAUGUUUUAUCUUGAAUUUUAAGUGUCCGUCUUAUUCUGCAUUUACG
This 582-nucleotide unclassified non-coding RNA is filed under the name Hevea brasiliensis (rubber tree). Lineage: Eukaryota; Viridiplantae; Streptophyta; Magnoliopsida; Malpighiales; Euphorbiaceae. The record is from RNAcentral.